AUGCCAUGGGAAGGUUACAAUUUUGAAGAAGCAAUACUAAUUAGCGAACCUUUGGUAUAUGAAGAUAUUUAUACCUCUGUUCACAUCCGGAAAUAUGAAAUUCAGACGGAUACAACAAGCCAGGGCUCCGCUGAAAAAAUAUAUUUUAAAAAUAGGAAGGGCGAGAUAGAAUUCGAGCACUAUAGGUGGGGCGGUUACCAUAUAUAA
This 207-nucleotide ribosomal RNA is filed under the name Triticum aestivum (bread wheat). RNAcentral's name for it is "partial small subunit ribosomal RNA". The record is from RNAcentral. Lineage: Eukaryota; Viridiplantae; Streptophyta; Magnoliopsida; Poales; Poaceae.